Molecule: long non-coding RNA, 3163 nt
Organism: Chelonia mydas (Green sea turtle)
Lineage: Eukaryota; Metazoa; Chordata; Testudines; Cheloniidae
Exons: 2
Source: RefSeq, a predicted model, not a curated record
AGGUUGGCCACCCCUGACAUGGAGUGACAUGAUCUUUAAGUACAAACAAAAAGUCAAUACAAUGUAUAAUGUAGCCUUCUACAGCACAGGUUUUCCAUGAACAGAGACACCUGACUUAAUUGCUGAGGCCUGCUCAUUAGUAAGUGUUGAGCUUUAUGCCAGUGUGCUAAAGGGAAGCUACACAGCUUGAUAGUUGCCUCCCCCUGCUGUGCCAGGUGAUCAUAGAAACUUUAUAUAUGCCUUAAAAACUGUCAAAGUCUAGUGAAAUCCUCAGAUUUCAUUAACUACUUCUCUAGUCUUUCACUUGGUGUUACAUGAACAAUGCAGAUAACCCUAAGUACAGAUAACCAAACGCAUAAUUUCAACACAUAGUUAAGAGUAAAGUCUCGGCAGUUGAGAGCUGCAGCUUCUCAGACUGUGGAAUGUGGUCAUGUAGCUUCCUAUAGCCGGGGAGUGCUAUUACCUUGGUUUUCAAACAUGCCCAGUUUCUGAUUGAGCUGGUGUUAUCUGUGUCUGACGGAGUGCAUUCUUAGAGAGGGUGUUACUGGAUGAACUUCUGAUAGCUCUUCAUUUCACUAAGUCCUUGUCUAUACUACAGAGUUUUGUCAACAAAAGGCAGCUUUUGUCGACAAAACAGUGGAUACGUACAUACUGCAAUGUGACUUUUGCCAGCAAAAAUACCCUGUUUUGGUGACAAAAUAAAACCACCUUGAUAUGAGAGACAAGGGUUUUUGCACAAAAUUUUUGUCGACAAAGUGCCAGGGUAGACACUAUGCUUGAUUUUAUCGCUUUAAUUGGCAUCCAGGAAGUGUCCCACAAUGCCCUUCCUGACCGCUUUGGUCAGCAAUUUGAACUCCACUGCCCUACGGCCACAUAAACAACCAUCCGCCCCUCCCCCUUAGAAGCCCCAGAAAUUUUUGAAAUUUCGUUUCCUGUUGGCUCGGCAUGGAGAGGUCUCAUCACAUCUUCCCAGGCGACCAUGACAUCUUAUCGCACCAAACACUCUCCCGUCUGGACCACUGCGGAGCAGCUGAAUCUGCUCAGUAUAGGGGGAGAGGAGGCUGUGCAGUCCCAGCUGCGCGUGAGCCGUAGGAAUUUUGAUACCUACGGGCAGAUCACUAAAGGAUUGUGCGAAACGGGCUAUGAUUGGGACACGCUGCAGUGCAGAGCGAAGAUAAAGGAGCUGAGGCAGGCGUACCAUAAGGCGAGGGAAGCAAACCAUCACUCCAGUGCUGCACCUAAGACCUGCCAGUUCUAUAAGGAGCUGGACACUAUCCUUGGUGACGACCCCACCUCCAUCACCAAGAGUCCCAUGGAUACUUCGGCGGGCCUGGAGGCGGUGGAAAGAGGACCUAACCCGGAAGAUGAAGUCAUUGAUGAAGAGGUGGAGUUAGAUGAUGUGGAGCUCCCGAUGGGGUGGCUCCGUGGGGCAGGCAGGCAGACAGGCACUGUUCUCCACUCCGGAGGUGUCUAGCCAGUCUCAGCAGUUGCUCUCUGGUGAGCAGGAGAGGAGACGCCUGUUUGUUGAGAUUUUGCUGUCCUUGAAGAUGGUGCGCUGGCUCACUGUCUGCAGGAGCAAGAGAGUAAGAGCUGGAAUCCACAGGAGGGAACAGAGCAGAAGCAGUUCUGCCAUGGCAGUCCUUAUCCCUUCUCUCCCCUGCUGACCUGUUUCCAGGUUUUGUAUGUGUUUCCUGCCUGCUUUUCCAUAGACACUGAAGAGCUGUGGAAGGGUAAAGCUGCUCCAGUGUGCAUUUCCUCCAGUCCAGCUAGUUGCUGCAGAAUAAAACAGUUUGUUAACGCUUCCAGAGUUGAAUUUAGAGGACAAAUGUGAGGCAGACUGUAACAUCCCAGACCUUGGACAAGAGCCACUGACUAAUUAAAGAGGCCUCCUAAUGGUCACUGGAAUGUAUCUGUCCUACUUACCCUGGGCAGCAGAUGAAUGGCACAUAGAGGCUGAUUUUAAUUUUGCAUUUUGCUAUCCAAGUGCAUAAUCCCUUUAAUCCUUCACUCCAUGGAUGAUGUUUUUUGUUUCUGUUGUUAAUUAAAUGGAGUCUAUACAGCCUCAGUGACUCAAAUUUUAGGACAAAUCUGUGCACUUAAAGAAGCAGGCUGGCCCAGGUCUUCUCAGGCAACAUGACAUUUAAAAGGACACUUUCAAGGUUAUUGCAUAGAUGAAUUGGCCUUUCCUGGCAGCCAUCCGUAUAGAAGCUUCCCUUCACCAUUCCAGAAGUGGAUUCUUAUUUAUCAAAUAAUUCUUAGUACUACAACAAAUACUAAUAAAUCAUCCCUAUGGUGUCUGAUUUACUGCAGGGCUGAUAGUGAUUGGAGUGGAAACCCUGCCUUCCUGAAAGGGAGAUGAUAAACAAGAGUAGGGACCGAACCAGGGUGAAGAGAGAAGGUAUUUGUGGAUCAGUUUGCUUAUCAUGGGGCACACAGCAAAAUGAACCUUACCUGCUGUAUCAGGGAUGCAAGAAUUAGCAAGGAGUGAAUUUGGAGUGGGGGAUAGGGACACAUCCACUCCUGGAAUUUUGAAGGGGAGACUUACAGUACAGGGUCACUCCCCAAGAAGUCAGUGUUUGGCCUCCUAUCCUUGUCCCUUUAAUAAGUUUGUAUUUUUUUUUACUAAACUAAUAAGUUUGUAUUUUUUUUAACACAGACAACACCAGAUGGAGACUAUUAAGAUGAGGCUGGAAAAUGUUAAUGGGGAAGGCCCGCAGAGAUGAGGUGUGGGGAGAAUGGGUAAGAACAGUACUGUACCUAGAAGGGUGUAUUGCUUGGUGGGGCCUAGUCUGAGCAGCUCUGCCAGAUUUUGGGUUGUGGCUGGCCAGCCUUUUUCUUAUGGUUCUGUAAUAAUGGGAACACAUCUGGCCUUUCUUUACUUUUAGAUUUUUAUAAACAGGCUCCAUGAUGAGCUCUGUGCAUCGUCGUUCUAUAAAAACCCAGCUGGGAUGAUGCACGGGAAGAGCGUUGUCUCGAAGGCAGCCAGGACACAAGAUGUGUAGGGUGGUCUAAAAGUUAGUUAGGAGGGACAUGUGGUUUUCUUCAGGGAAUAUUAGGUUUUAGUCCUACAUGUCACAGGGGCAUAAGCAACAUAUUUUUAUUUGGGGGUGGCAGAAUUUUGUCCACAUUUAAUAAAGUGAAAUAAAUGCAUUUCUGUUCCAAA